Molecule: long non-coding RNA, 1407 nt
Filed under: Dasypus novemcinctus (nine-banded armadillo)
Lineage: Eukaryota; Metazoa; Chordata; Mammalia; Cingulata; Dasypodidae
Description: lncRNA (ENSDNOG00000052992.1)
Source: RNAcentral
AGAAUGUCUAAAUAUUUGUCCCUAACAAACACAGUCGGGGCGGAUGACCUGGAAGGCCUGGGCCGAUGCUUCCGUGUGGUCCCAGCACGGCCGGGCGGUGUUUCCUUGCUGCUGGACACUUCCACGUGGGGCCAAUCGGGUGUCUGUGGAGGAGCGUCUCUGGCCAUCGAGACCCGGUAAACAAGAAACACAAUGUACACUGCAGCCGCGGCUCCUCAGGAUCCUCCUGCUCCGUGGGCCCCACCCAGGUUCAUGACUUUCUCUUCCAUUGCUCACCUGGAAUAGAGCCAGUCCCCAUUCCCGUGCCUUACCUGUUCACACUUUUUUUUUUAGGCGGUACCGGGUAUUGAACCCAGGACCUUGUACAUGGAAAAGAGGCACUCAGCCACUGAGCUACACUGCUUUCCAGUGAGAAUUUGUGUUUUCGUUUAUUUUGGGGAGGUAUCUGGGACCAAAUCCGGGACCUCGUACAUGGGAAACAGGCGCUCAACCUGCUUUUUAAAAGAUUUAUUUAUUUAUUUGUUUGUUUAUCCCCCAUCCCCAUUGUCCAUUCUCUGUAUGUUCUUCUGUGUCUGCUUGUAUUUUCAUUAGGGAGCUUUGGGAACCGAUCCUCGGACCUUCCAGAGUCGGAGAGAGGUGAUCAUUCUCUUGUGCCACCUCAGCUCCCUGUUCUGCUAUGUCUUCUUGUCUCCCCUUUGUGUCUCUUGUUGUGUCAUCUUGCUGUGCCAGCUCUCCGUGUCGGCCAGCAGUCCUGCACGGGGUGGCAUUCCUGCGUGGGACAGCACUCCCCCGUGGGCUGGCACUCCGUGUGGGCCAGCUCGGCACACGGGCCAGCUUGCCAUCACCAGAAGGCCCUGGGCAUUGAACCCUGGACGUCCCAUAUGGUAAACGGGAGCCCAACUCCUUGAGCCACAUCCGUUUCCCUGCUCACACCUUUAGGAUCUUAACAGAGCCUGCCCAUUUUCCUUCUGGACCGCUCCCUCCCCAGGGGUAUUCCCAAGGCUUUGUGAAACCUUGUUCAUUCCCUCCAUCAGAAUGCUUCAGAACACAGCUGAGUCUGUGACCCGACACAGGUGCAAAAGGAGCCCAGUCCCUGCUGCGGGGACUUCUUUGCUGAUAAGAGCUUGGGAAAAAUUUGUGGUGGGCAGAACCCUGGCCUGGAGAGGGCAUCAGCCCCAGGUUUGACACUCCCCUUGUGUCCUUGGGGUGACUGCAGAGGCACAGUAAUGAAGGAACUCACGAACUGCACAGCUCUGUGGCCCUGUCUGUCGUCAUCGUUGAUCACAGUCUGGAAGCAGAACGCAACGCCUGACCCUCCUGCAGAGCGGGAACUAUCGAUCUGCUGAUGGACUACGCACCGUCUCUUCUUUGACGGGAUCCUCCCGGGGGUCUGAUGAUCAAUCAGGU